CCUACGGGUGGCAGCAGUGGGGGAUAUUGCACAAUGGGGGGAACCCUGAUGCAGCGACGCCGCGUGUGGGAAGACGGUCCUCUGGAUUGUAAACCACUGUCCCCAGGGACGAAAAUGACGGUACCUGGGGAGGAAGCUCCGGCUAACUACGUGCCAGCAGCCGCGGUAAUACGUAGGGAGCGAGCGUUGUCCGGAAUUACUGGGUGUAAAGGGAGCGUAGGCGGGGAUGCAAGUUGGGUGUCAAAACUACCGGCUCAACUGGUAGUCGCACCCAAAACUGCAGCUCUUGAGUGAAGUAGAGGCAGGCGGAAGGCCUAGUGUAGCGGUGAAAUGCGUAGAUAUUAGGAGGAACACCAGUGGCGAAGGCGGCCUGCUGGGCGUUUACUGACGCUGAGGCUCGAAAGUGUGGGGAGCAAACAGGAUUAGAUACCCUUGUAGUC
This 440-nucleotide ribosomal RNA is filed under the name uncultured bacterium. RNAcentral describes it as "partial 16S ribosomal RNA". It matches the Rfam family "Bacterial small subunit ribosomal RNA", at positions 338 to 795 of the family's 1533-position model. The record is from RNAcentral.